Molecule: long non-coding RNA, 379 nt
Organism: Passer domesticus (house sparrow)
Lineage: Eukaryota; Metazoa; Chordata; Aves; Passeriformes; Passeridae
Exons: 3
Source: RefSeq, a predicted model, not a curated record
CCUGGUCCCUUGGCAUCGUGGGAAUAGAAAUGGCCACAGGAGAGGCUCCUUAUAUGCAGGAGACCAGUGUCAAGGCCAGCUACCUGAUAGGCAAGCAAGGGGUUCCAAAUCUGCACCAGCUCAGGCUACCCCCUGGCUUGUGUGAAUUUCUGGGCUGCUGCCUGCAGAUGGAUGUGGACAGGCGAGGCUCUGCCAAGGACCUUCUGCAGCAUCCAUUUCUGCAAUCAGCGGAGCCUCUCUUAAGCCUCUUCUGACAGCCUGAUUGCUGCCAUCCCUGCAGCAAGGGAAUGCAGGAAGCAAAGGAGAUGACAAGGACCACUUCAGCACUGGAGAACAGAGCCUCUGAGAGCACGUAGGAAUCCAGAGGAGAGAAGGGCCG